UUUAAUUCGAAGCAACGUGAAGAACCUUACCAAAUCUUGACAUCCUUUGACCCUUCUAGAGAUAGAAGUUUCCCCUUCGGGGGACAAAGUGACAGGUGGUGCAUGGUUGUCGUCAGCUCGUGUCGUGAGAUGUUGGGUUAAGUCCCGCAACGAGCGCAACCCUUAAGCUUAGUUGCCAUCAUUAAGUUGGGCACUCUAAGUUGACUGCCGGUGACAAACCGGAGGAAGGUGGGGAUGACGUCAAAUCAUCAUGCCCCUUAUGAUUUGGGCUACACACGUGCUACAAUGGACAAUACAAAGGGCAGCGAAACCGCGAGGUCAAGCAAAUCCCAUAAAGUUGUUCUCAGUUCGGAUUGUAGUCUGCAACUCGACUACAUGAAGCUGGAAUCGCUAGUAAUCGUAGAUCAGCAUGCUA
This 415-nucleotide ribosomal RNA is filed under the name uncultured bacterium. RNAcentral describes it as "bacterial SSU rRNA". It matches the Rfam family "Bacterial small subunit ribosomal RNA", at positions 945 to 1359 of the family's 1533-position model. The record is from RNAcentral.